GCCGAGCUAGGUAGCGCUAGCUUGUAACCCUAGCGGGAGCAUUAAGGUGAUUGAACUUGUACUGUUAGACCGAGUGUGGUGCUUAUCCUUGCCGGAAGGUCUCCUUU
RNAcentral lists this non-coding RNA (107 nucleotides) under Vigna radiata var. radiata (mung bean). The record is from RNAcentral. Lineage: Eukaryota; Viridiplantae; Streptophyta; Magnoliopsida; Fabales; Fabaceae.